ACCCAGAGCAAGAAGCAGUCUAAAGAACACAAUGCCUGGUUAGUACUUGGAUGGGGGACUGCCUGGGAAUACCCGGUGCUGUAGGAU
Ribosomal RNA from Cricetulus griseus (Chinese hamster), 87 nucleotides. NCBI's taxonomy places the organism in Eukaryota, Metazoa, Chordata, Mammalia, Rodentia, Cricetidae. The record is from Ensembl.